This 1191-nucleotide ribosomal RNA is filed under the name metagenome. RNAcentral describes it as "bacterial SSU rRNA". It matches the Rfam family "Bacterial small subunit ribosomal RNA", at positions 313 to 1520 of the family's 1533-position model. The record is from RNAcentral.
CUGGCACUGAAACACGGGCCAGACUCCUACGGGAGGCAGCAGUGGGGAAUCUUGCACAAUGGGGGAAACCCUGAUGCAGCGACGCCGCGUGAGCGAUGAAGCCCUUCGGGGUGUAAAGCUCUUUCGGCAGGGACGAUAAUGACGGUACCUGCAGAAGCAGCUGCGGCUAACUACGUGCCAGCAGCCGCGGUAAUACGUAGGCAGCAAGCGUUGUUCGGAGUUACUGGGCGUAAAGGGUGCGUAGGCGGUCCUAUAAGUAUGGUGUGAAAUCUCCCGGCUUAACUGGGAGGGUGCGCUAUAGACCGUGGGACUAGAGUGUGGGAGAGGAAAGUGGAAUUCCUGGUGUAGCGGUGAAAUGCGUAGAUAUCAGGAGGAACACCGGCGGUGUAAACGGCUUUCUGGACCAUAACUGACGCUGAGGCACGAAAGCGUGGGUAGCAAACAGGAUUAGAUACCCUGGUAGUCCACGCCCUAAACGAUGCAUAUUUGGUGUGGGUCAUUCAGUUGAUCCGUGCCGGAGCUAACGCGUUAAAUAUGCCGCCUGGGGAGUACAGUCGCAAGGCUGAAACUCAAAGGAAUUGACGGGGGCCCGCACAAGCGGUGGAGCAUGUGGUUUAAUUCGACGCAACGCGAAGAACCUUACCUGGGCUCGAAAUGCUAUGGACCAGCUGGUGAAAGCCGGCCUUCCCGCAAGGGACCGUAGUAUAGGUGCUGCAUGGCUGUCGUCAGCUCGUGUCGUGAGAUGUUGGGUUAAGUCCCGCAACGAGCGCAACCCUUGUCCUGUGUUGCCAUACCGAAAGGUGGAACUCGCAGGAGACCGCCAGGGAUAACCUGGAGGAAGGUGGGGAUGACGUCAAGUCCUCAUGGCCUUUAUGUCCAGGGCUACACACGUGCUACAAUGGACGGUACAAAGGGCUGCCAACCCGCGAGGGGGAGCCAAUCCCAAAAAACCGUUCUCAGUUCGGAUUGCAGGCUGCAACUCGCCUGCAUGAAGCUGGAAUCGCUAGUAAUGGUGGAUCAGAACGCCACCGUGAAUACGUUCCCGGGCCUUGUACACACCGCCCGUCACAUCACGAAAGUGGGUUGUACUAGAAGUUCGCACGCUAACCCGCAAGGGAGGCAGCGGCCCAAGGUAUGACUCAUGAUUGGGGUGAAGUCGUAACAAGGUAGCCGUAGGAGAACCUGCGGCUG